This 2281-nucleotide ribosomal RNA is filed under the name human metagenome. RNAcentral's name for it is "bacterial LSU rRNA". It matches the Rfam family "Bacterial large subunit ribosomal RNA", at positions 14 to 2320 of the family's 2925-position model. The record is from RNAcentral.
AGGGCGCACGGUGGAUGCCUUGGCACUAGGAGCCGAAGAAGGACGUGACAAACGACGAUAUGCCUUGGGUAGCUGUAAGUAAGCGAUGAUCCAGGGAUUUCCGAAUGGGGGAACCCAACAGGUACUACCUGUUACCCGCAUCUGUUAAGGAUGUGAGGAGGAAGACGCAGUGAACUGAAACAUCUAAGUAGCUGCAGGAAGAGAAAGCAAAAGCGAUUGCCUUAGUAGCGGCGAGCGAAACGGCAGGAGGGCAAACCGAAGAGUUUACUCUUCGGGGUUGUAGGACUGCAAUGUGGACUCAAAGAUUAUAGAAGAAUGAUUUGGGAAGAUCAGCCAAAGAGAGUAACAGCCUCGUAUUUAAAAUAGUCUUUGUACCUAGCAGUAUCCUGAGUACGGCGGGACACGUGAAAUCCCGUCGGAAUCUGGGAGGACCAUCUCCCAACCCUAAAUACUCCCUAGUGACCGAUAGUGAACCAGUACCGUGAGGGAAAGGUGAAAAGCACCCCGGGAGGGGAGUGAAAUAGAACCUGAAACCGUGUGCCUACAACAAGUUCGAGCCCGUUAAUGGGUGAGAGCGUGCCUUUUGUAGAAUGAACCGGCGAGUUACGAUAUGAUGCGAGGUUAAGUUGAAGAGACGGAGCCGUAGGGAAACCGAGUCUGAAUAGGGCGCAUUAGUAUCAUGACGUAGACCCGAAACCAUGUGACCUACCCAUGAGCAGGUUGAAGGUGCGGUAAAACGCACUGGAGGACCGAACCAGGGCACGUUGAAAAGUGCUUGGAUGACUUGUGGGUAGCGGAGAAAUUCCAAACGAACUUGGAGAUAGCUGGUUCUCUCCGAAAUAGCUUUAGGGCUAGCGUCGACAUAAAGAUUCUUGGAGGUAGAGCACUGUUUGGGUGAGGGGUCCAUCCCGGAUUACCAAUCUCAGAUAAACUCCGAAUGCCAAUGAAUUAUGGUCGGCAGUCAGACUGCGAGUGCUAAGAUCCGUAGUCGAAAGGGAAACAGCCCAGACCACCAGCUAAGGUCCCAAAAUAAUUGUUAAGUGGAAAAGGAUGUGGGGUUGCACAGACAACUAGGAUGUUAGCUUAGAAGCAGCUAUUCAUUCAAAGAGUGCGUAAUAGCUCACUAGUCGAGUGACCCUGCGCCGAAAAUGUACCGGGGCUAAAACAAUUUACCGAAGCUGUGGAUCCCUUAGGGGAUGGUAGGAGAGCGUUCUAUGUGUGGAGAAGGUGUACCGUGAGGAGCGCUGGAACGCAUAGAAGUGAGAAUGCCGGUAUGAGUAGCGAAAGACAGGUGAGAAUCCUGUCCACCGUAAGACUAAGGUUUCCAGGGGAAGGCUCGUCCGCCCUGGGUUAGUCGGGACCUAAGGAGAGACCGAAAGGUGUAUCCGAUGGACAACAGGUUGAUAUUCCUGUACUAGAGUAUGUAGUGAUGGAGGGACGCAGUAGGCUAACUAAAGCAGACGAUUGGAAGUGUCUGUCUAAGCAGUGAGGUGUGAUAUGAGUCAAAUGCUUAUAUCUAUAACAUUGAGCUGUGAUGGGGAGCGAAGUUUAGUAGCGAAGUUAGUGACGUCACACUGCCAAGAAAAGCUUCUAGCGUUUAAACAUACUCUACCCGUACCGCAAACCGACACAGGUAGUCGAGGCGAGUAGCCUCAGGUGAGCGAGAGAACUCUCGUUAAGGAACUCGGCAAAAUGACCCCGUAACUUCGGGAGAAGGGGUGCUGACUUUGGUCAGCCGCAGUGAAUAGGCCCAAGCAACUGUUUAUCAAAAACACAGCUCUCUGCUAAAUCGUAAGAUGAUGUAUAGGGGGUGACGCCUGCCCGGUGCUGGAAGGUUAAGAGGAGUGCUUAGGAGUAAUCCGAAGGUAUGAAUUGAAGCCCCAGUAAACGGCGGCCGUAACUAUAACGGUCCUAAGGUAGCGAAAUUCCUUGUCGGGUAAGUUCCGACCCGCACGAAAGGCGUAAUGAUUUGGGCACUGUCUCAACGAGAGACUCGGUGAAAUUUUAGUACCUGUGAAGAUGCAGGUUACCCGCGACAGGACGGAAAGACCCCAUGGAGCUUUACUGCAGUUUGAUAUUGAGUGUCUGUGCCACAUGUACAGGAUAGGUAGGAGCCUAUGAGAUCGGGACGCCAGUUUCGAUGGAGGCGUUGUUGGGAUACUACCCUUGUGUUAUGGCCACUCUAACCCGGUAGGUUUAUCAUCUACGGAGACAGUGUCUGACGGGCAGUUUGACUGGGGCGGUCGCCUCCUAAAAGGUAACGGAGGCGCCCAAAGGUUCC